This 510-nucleotide ribosomal RNA is filed under the name uncultured bacterium. Its description in RNAcentral is "partial 16S ribosomal RNA". It matches the Rfam family "Bacterial small subunit ribosomal RNA", at positions 28 to 523 of the family's 1533-position model. The record is from RNAcentral.
GACGAACGCUGGCGGCGUGCCUAAUACAUGCGAGUCGAGCGAAUGACGAGAAGCUUGCUUCUCUGAUUUAGCGGCGGACGGGUGAGUAACACGUGGGCAACCUGCCCUACAGAUUGGGAUAACUCAGGGAAACCUGGGCUAAUACCGGAUAAUCCUUCGAAUCACAUGUUUUGAAGUUGAAAGGCGCUUCGGCGUCACUGUAGGAUGGGCCCGCGGUGCAUUAGCUAGUUGGUGGGGUAACGGCCUACCAAGGCAACGAUGCAUAGCCGACCUGAGAGGGUGAUCGGCCACAUUGGGACGGAGACACGGCCCAAACUCCUACGGGAGGCAGCAGUAGGGAAUCUUCCACAAUGGACGAAAGUCUGAUGGAGCAACGCCGCGUGAGUGAUGAAGGUUUUCGGAUCGUAAAACUCUGUUGUAAGGGAAGAACAAGUACGUUAGGAAAUGAACGUACCUUGACGGUACCUUAUUAGAAAGCCACGGCUAACUACGUGCCAGCCGCCGCAGUAA